RNAcentral lists this transfer RNA (70 nucleotides) under Schindleria praematura (Schindler's fish). RNAcentral's name for it is "tRNA-Pro". It matches the Rfam family "tRNA". From Rfam's summary of the family: Transfer RNA (tRNA) molecules are approximately 80 nucleotides in length. Their secondary structure includes four short double-helical elements and three loops (D, anti-codon, and T loops). The record is from RNAcentral. Lineage: Eukaryota; Metazoa; Chordata; Actinopteri; Gobiiformes; Schindleriidae.
CAAAGAGUAGUCCAAUUUAGGAUGCUGGCUUUGGGAGCCAGUGGUGGGAGUUAAAAUCUCCUCUCUUUGA